UAUACAUAAACACACACAUAUACAGAGAGAGAAACAACGGAAGUAUUCAGUAUUUCAAAAGAAAUGUAAACACACGCACACACACACACACACACACACACACACACGCACUUACAUAUACACGCAUAGGCGUGUGCGCGCAAUCUCUGCUACUAUAUAAAUGAGGGCACGAGCUAAAUAUAGUUAGUACAAGUUUAGCUUUUGAGUGCGGAACUUUGCAGUGCAAUUGGAGAUAGAAACCUCGUGUUAUAUACAUCUAGCUACAAAUCUGUUCACAUACUAACAUGCUGGCAUUAUCUGCUGUGAUUUUGUUCAUUUCAUCCACCUUCUUGGCAUCUGUAGAGGCUUCACCCAUACCAGGCCCUGAAUGCAAAGAACCAAACAUCUUACUCCACAACUCGGUCGCCUUCGGGACAGCUAGUGGUGAAGCCGCUGCAGGCAAUGAUGGCGACGGUGAUGACGACGAAGAUUACAAUGACGGGCAUUUAUCAGUUGAAGAUAGAGCCAUAUGCCCUUGGAAAAUAGUUAAGGUUAUAGAUGACAGUCGCUACCCUCGCAUCUUAAAGACAGUCCAUUGCAGAACAAACACAUGGGACAAUGGCACAUGUGUUCCAGUCAUACACAAUUUCACAGUGCUCUAUCGUACAGACAAGUGUAUGAAGUUGUCUGAAACAAAUGAAACUGAAGUGCUAUAUGCUUACAGGCCAGACACCCUUCAACUAGCAGUUGCCUGCACAUCUGUACUUAAUACUUCCACUGUUGACCAGGGCAAUAGUAGUGUUCACAAUAAACUAAUAUCCUCACCUUAAGAGUGAUUCACCAUUUCUUCUGGAUCUGUGUUGGUUGAGAAUGGAAAUACCAGUCCGUUUUUGUGUGUGCAUAUGUAUAUUAAUCAGAGUGUGCAAUAUUAUGUAUCCAUUACGGCCAAUCUUACCAGUCAGUUUUGCACUAGGUGUUCAACAGAGUCUUUGAUAACAGCCUGAUUAUGUAACCCUGCACUCUUCAGAGAUGGCAGUUACAGAAUGAGAUAUGGGCGUAUCUCAUUCCGUAAUAUAUAAAACUGUACACUUCGAUUAAUAUAUCCUCUAUAUUGAUAAAUAUACGAGUACAUAUUUUUUCUGACAUGGAUUCUUAGGUGGUUAUAUAUAUAUAUAUAUAUAUAUAUAUAUAUAUAUAUUGUGUGUGUGUAUGUGUGUGCACGCGGAUAUAUAUAUAUAUAUAUAUAUAUAUAUAUAUAUAUAUAUAUAUAGAUAUGUAUGUAUAGAGAGAUGGAGAGAGGUGUGUGUUUGUAUGUAAUGUAUAUAAAUGUAUGUAUAAACAUUUUACAGCCCAUUUCCAUCAUAAAUAUCUUGUUGAAUCAUACUUUUAAUACUCGUAAUUAAGCAAUGUGUAUAUAUACCAUAGAGAGACCACUCUCAUAGAACACUAUGUAUGGCUAUAAUUAACAUUUGUACAUAGUAUAUCAAACUGCUAGUGUGUAAGGUUGACCAAAAGUCACCCGACAGUAAAUCAAAACCCAUUUAAUUCCAAGAUUAAAACAAAAACUUAUUUUAUACAAGACUUUGCUGAUAAAUAGACAAAUGUUGAAAAAAGAAAAAAAAACCGGUGAUUUUUAACUCAUAACAUUCAAUUAUUAAGCAUUCAUAAUUGGAAUGAAUAAAUAAAAUUGAAUAUUUAGUAUUUGAGGAAUUUUGAUUUACUGUUGGGUGACUUUUGGCCAACCCUGUAUAUAUAUAUAUAUAUAUAUAUAUAUAUAGAUGUAUAUACAUACAUACAAACACUAUUUACAUAUAAACUUUUACAAAACACGUAACACUGUGUAGUAUAAAAUAUACAUUAUAUAAAAUUAUUUAAAAUUAUAAUAUAGGGUAUCUAAGAGAUACCGCCACGCUGAAAAAUAGCAGUCAAAUCUUGACUCUAAACCACUAUAAAUGUUCAUAUAGCACAAAGAGCGAAGACGAAGACAAAAUAAACUAGCUAGUUUUUACUAGUUUAUUUUGUCUUCGUCUUCGCUCUUUGUGCUAUAUGAACAUUUUAAUGUGGUUUAGAGUCAAGAUUUGGCUGCUAUUUUCAGCAUAGCGGUAUCUCUUAGAUACCCCUAUAUUAUAAUUUUAAAUAAUUGUUACCUUUGAUAGUUUUUAUUCCCAUGCUGGCCACUUGAUAAAAUCAAUAUUUUAAAUAUCGAUCUUAUCCUUAUUUAUAUAAAUUUAUAUAUAUAUAUAUAUAUAUUGUGUAUUUUGGUAAAUUGAAUUUUCAAGUCAUAAAUACUGUAUGAAACAGUAAAUAAAAAUGAAAUAAUCUUGUAAAAAUAUAAUAAAAUUGUCUAUUAUUUAUUGA
Molecule: RNA transcript, 2337 nt
Organism: Octopus bimaculoides (California two-spot octopus)
Lineage: Eukaryota; Metazoa; Mollusca; Cephalopoda; Octopoda; Octopodidae
Source: RefSeq, a predicted model, not a curated record